UCAGGCAGCCUGAGAGACGGCUACCAGUUCUAAGGAACGCAGCAGGCGCGCAAAUUACACAAUGACAGUAAACUGUUGAUGUAGUGACAAGAGGUAACGGGGCGGUCCUCUAUGAGGCCCGUCAUUGUAUUGAGUAAAACUCAAAAUAUUUAACGAAACCAAUUGGAGGGCAAGUCUGGUGCCAGCAGCCGCGGUAAUUCCAGCUCCAAAAGCAUAUAUUAAAGUUGUUGCGGUUAAAAAGCUCGUAGUUGGAUCCAUGACCUCGGAGGGCGGUCCCCCACUGGGUGCGUACUGCUUCUCCGAGUCCUAUCUGUCAGUUUGUCUGUGUUGCCUUUAAUCGGGUGGCACAGGUGACUGACGUGUUUACUUUGAAAAAAUUAGAGUGUUUAAAGCAGGCGUUGAAUGCCUGAAUAGUGGUGCAUGGAAUAAUGGAAUAGGAUCUCGGUUCUAUUUUGUUGGUUCAAGAGCAUGAGAAAAUGAUUAAGAGGGACAGACGGGGGCAUUUGUAUUGCUGCGUUAGAGGUGAAAUUCUUGGAUCGUAGCAAGACAAACUACUGCGAAGGCAUUUGCCAAGAAUGUUUUCAUUAAUCAAGAACGAAAGUUAGAGGUUCGAAGGCGAUCAGAUACCGCCCUAGUUCUAACCGUAAACCAUGUCGACUAGCUAUCUGUCAGCGUUAAUAAUGACCUGACAGGCAGCUUACCGGAAACGAAAGUUUCUCGAUUCCGGGGGUAGUAUGGUUGCAAAGCUGAAACUUAAAGGAAUUGACGGAAGGGCACCACCAGGAGUGGAGCCUGCGGCUUAAUUUGACACAACACGGGAAAACUCACCCGGCCCGGACACCGUAAGGAUUGACAGAUUAAUAGCUCUUUCUCGAUUUGGUGAUUGGUGGUGCAUGGCCGUUCUUAGUUGGUGGAGCGAUUUGUCUGGUUAAUUCCGAUAACGAACGAGAUUCUAACUUACUAACUAGUUCCACGAUCCUUGUGGUCCUAAAUACUUCUUAGAGGGAAAACCGGCAUUUAGUCGAACGAGAUUGAGCAAUAACAGGACUGUGAUGCCCUUAGAUGUCCGGGGCUGCACGCGUGCUACACUGAAGGAAUCAGCGUGUUUUUCCCUUGCCUGUAAUGGCUGGGUAACCGACUGAAUCUCCUUCGUGCUAGGGAUAGAUCAUUGAAACUAGUGAUCUUCAACUUGGAAUUCCUGGUACGUUUGAGUCAUAAGCUCAAGCAGAUUACGUCCCUGCCCUUUGUACACACCGCCCGUCGCUACUACCGACUGGCAAUAUCUUUGAGACACUUGGAGCGGCCGUGAGCUACCCUAACCGGUAACUCACGGCUGCGAAAAGGUUCGAAAAGGUUUUGCUGGAGGAAGUAAAAGUCGUAACAAGGUU
Molecule: ribosomal RNA, 1388 nt
Filed under: metagenome
Description: SSU rRNA
Rfam family: Eukaryotic small subunit ribosomal RNA
Source: RNAcentral